Molecule: long non-coding RNA, 1460 nt
Organism: Alosa sapidissima (American shad)
Lineage: Eukaryota; Metazoa; Chordata; Actinopteri; Clupeiformes; Clupeidae
Exons: 4
Source: RefSeq, a predicted model, not a curated record
CAUCACAACCAUGGUGGGUUUUAAAUUAAUUCCACCCAAAUCGUAUUCUCCGACUUUUCUUGUAUAUUUAGUAGCAGUAGGCUAAUGAUAAUUUGGCUGUCAAUAAAACAAGCAUUACAAUUAUUUAUUUUAUUUUAUUUUCAACAUUUGCAAAACAACACGGGAAAUAUGUUCGACCAAUCAUACUUCUCAUCAUGACAUUUCUAGGCUACACGCUUGCUCGUCAAUGCUAGGAUAUUCUUCGGAGACUAGUUAUAAUAUUUAGGCUAUAUCAUAGGCCUAGUUCUGACAUUCAAGCAACUGCAAUGACCAGCAAGCUAAAUGUGGUGCAAAAAAGAAAACAGUUAUAUUUUAUUUGAUACCACGCUAUCACUUGUAAGAGGUGUAAACAUUCCGGGCGGUCUUCACAACGUGACACCGUGACAUCAAGAAGUCACAUGUUGGGAUUCGUCUAAUCGUUGAUCAUUUAAUUUCCUCGCUUGUUAAAUCAAGACGUAACUUGGAUCAGGAAACUUCCUUGACCGACCAGUCAUCGCGCUAGCGCGAGUUAGUAGCAGUUAUUGGCAGCAAUGCUUGAGCAACAUGGGACUGUAACUGGCUGCAAGUUUCAUUGUUUGGCAUGGAUUUUAACCGGGGUUCAAGAAAAAGCUGCUGUUGUGAAGACCAUGUACAUGACAGACAUGAGGAUGUGAUUACUGCCUGCAUGUCUUCAAACUAAUGUGAAAUUGUCCUCCACAAUGGAAUGCAGAAAGGAAUGUUGCAAAGAAGGAAAUGCAAACACACCUGCAGCUGGUUGCAACAGUUAAACAUCUUUUUCACUGAAAUCAAUUAUGGGAAACAACGAGGGGAAUUGGCCACUUCACCACAAACUCUCUCUUUGGAGGAAGGCCGCACGGAGGUACCAUCCGAGAAUACGUCACCAGGGAUACGAUGGAGCUGGGGGACAUUGGGUCUGAAGACAGCAAGGAGGAUAAAACUCAAAAUUCCCAUAGCAGAGGCUUCCAACCCGUCUCUCCUGGGGAAAAGGGGAGACAAGGAGCAGCAUGGUUAAGGAACACUUACGCUGGGACAUUACAAAUGCCUCUGACUGAGUGAUACUCUGGCUGAGUGAUGACUCACUGACAAUUUUUUAUUUUUAUACAGUGGUCCCAAGUAUCGCAAAGUUCACUUGUUUAAUAAUAGGUUUUUAAUUCCAUAGUUAGCGCAUAUGUCCACUCCAGUAACAUGGCUUCUAAAGUUCACAAGAUGGCACAAGACCUCUUCCUCUUGAGUCCCAGCAGGAGAUUAGAAAGGAAUCAUCCCGUAGGCUUAAUUACUAUUUAGACAUAUUUAAUUAAAUUAUUUUUAAACUAAUUAAAAAAAAGAUAUAUAUUUUUUAUUUUAAAGUGUUUAAUAAAAAGUUUAAAGGGAGUGUACCAUUUAUAAAUGAAAAGCAUGAAGGACAAGUUGCAUUGUGAUUC